GGCCCUGUAGUGAAAUUCAUAUUGAGUUGCAAACUCAUUGAUGUACAUUAAAAGUGUACCAGGGUCU
This 67-nucleotide transfer RNA is filed under the name Dromaius novaehollandiae (emu). Its description in RNAcentral is "tRNA-Cys". Lineage: Eukaryota; Metazoa; Chordata; Aves; Casuariiformes; Dromaiidae. The record is from RNAcentral.